AGAGGGGUGCAAGCGUUAAUCGGAAUUACUGGGCGUAAAGCGCACGUAGGCGGGAUGUCUAAGUCGGGGUGUGAAAGCCCCGGGGCUCAACCUGGGAACUGCAUUCGAUACUGGGUGUCUAGAGUAUGGUAGAGGAUAGUGGAAUUCCCGGUGUAGCGGUGAAAUGCGUAGAUAUCGGGAAGAACACCAGUGGCGAAGGCGGCUAUCUGGACCAAUACUGACGCUAAGGUGCGAAAGCGUGGGGAGCAAACAGGAUUAGAGACCCUGGUAGUCCACGCCGUAAACGAUGAGAACUAGAUGUUUGGGAGCUUGACUCCUGAGUAUCGUAGCUAACGCGUUAAGUUCUCCGCCUGGGGAGUACGGCCGCAAGGUUA
RNAcentral lists this ribosomal RNA (374 nucleotides) under uncultured organism. Its description in RNAcentral is "partial 16S ribosomal RNA". It matches the Rfam family "Bacterial small subunit ribosomal RNA", at positions 526 to 896 of the family's 1533-position model. The record is from RNAcentral.